UGCUGCGGUGGCCUAGCUGGUUAGGGCGCGGGACUCAUAAUCCCGAGGUCGGGGGUUCGGAUCCCUCUCGCAGCAUCC
This 78-nucleotide transfer RNA is filed under the name Methanocorpusculaceae archaeon Sp1. RNAcentral's name for it is "tRNA-Met". It matches the Rfam family "tRNA". Rfam says of the family: Transfer RNA (tRNA) molecules are approximately 80 nucleotides in length. Their secondary structure includes four short double-helical elements and three loops (D, anti-codon, and T loops). Lineage: Archaea; Methanobacteriati; Methanobacteriota; Methanomicrobia; Methanomicrobiales; Methanocorpusculaceae. The record is from RNAcentral.